RNAcentral lists this transfer RNA (72 nucleotides) under Ovis aries (sheep). It matches the Rfam family "tRNA". From Rfam's summary of the family: Transfer RNA (tRNA) molecules are approximately 80 nucleotides in length. Their secondary structure includes four short double-helical elements and three loops (D, anti-codon, and T loops). Lineage: Eukaryota; Metazoa; Chordata; Mammalia; Artiodactyla; Bovidae. The record is from Rfam by way of RNAcentral.
UCCCUUGUAGCUCAGUCAGUAAAGAAUCUGCCUGCAAUGCAGGAGUCCCGGGUUUGAUCCCUGGAUUGGGAA